Molecule: ribosomal RNA, 253 nt
Filed under: uncultured bacterium
Lineage: Bacteria
Description: partial 16S ribosomal RNA
Rfam family: Bacterial small subunit ribosomal RNA
Source: RNAcentral
UACGAAGGGGGCUAGCGUUGUUCGGAAUUACUGGGCGUAAAGCGUGUGUAGGUGGCUGCGUAAGUCGGAUGUGAAAGCCCUGGGCUCAACUCAGGAAGUGCACUCGAUACUGCGUAGCUCGAGUACCGGAGAGGUUGGUAGAAUUCUCGGUGUAGAGGUGAAAUUCGUAGAUAUCGAGAGGAAUACCUGUGGCGAAGGCGGCCAACUGGACGAGUACUGACACUGAGACACGAAAGCGUGGGGAGCAAACAGG